GACGAACGCUGGCGGCGUGCUUAACACAUGCAAGUCGAACGACGUGGCGCACGGGUGUGUAAUACGUGUGUAACCUUCCCUCCUUUUUGGGAUAAGCUUUGGAAACGGGGUCUAAUUCCGGCUAUAGGGGGAUGGGCUCGCGGCCUAUCAGCUUGUUGGUGGGGUGAUAGCCUACCAAGGCGGUGACGGGUAGCCGGCCUGAGAGGGUGAACGGCAACAUUGGGACUGGGAUACGGCCCAGGCUCCUAAGGGGGGCAGCAGUGGGGGAUAUUGGCGAAUGGGCGAAGGACUGAUGCAGCGACGCCGCGUGGGGGAUUAAGGCUUUCGGGUUGUAAACCUGUGGAGGUAGCGAACGGGUAGGUGGAGAAGAAGCGCCGGCUAACUACGUGCCAGCAGCCGCGGUAAUUC
Molecule: ribosomal RNA, 408 nt
Filed under: uncultured bacterium
Lineage: Bacteria
Description: partial 16S ribosomal RNA
Rfam family: Bacterial small subunit ribosomal RNA
Source: RNAcentral